UAAGCAACCUCGAGCCCACCAGAACCUAAAAACAAUAUUCCAACAACUAGUUUAGCAACCAAUUUAUGAAUUCAUCAAACUAAAUCAGACAAUGUGCACAUGCUUAUCGCCAACAAACACAACCACACGCACGAAUCAGGCUGUUGAAGCAAAAUUCGCUGCUACACCAUCAUCUCCGUCGCAAUCUCUUACAAAAAUUAAACCCCCUAAUAAGAACACCCGCACGCCAAACUAACAAAGAAAUCCAACCAAAAACAACUUACAGACUUACCACAAUGAGCAAAGAACAUAUGGAAUGAUGAUCCCCCACGAUUAAAACGACCAAUUCGUUGAGCAAAGUAACGAAAGAAUAACACGAAAAGAAAAGGUUGCAGAAAGAAAAAAAAAGAGAAAGAAAAAGAAGAAGAAAGAGUAACGUCAAAAUGUGAAAUAGAAAGGGAAAUUUUAGGAAAAAAUAAAAUAAAAUAAAAUAAUAUCAAAUAUUAUCCCAACAUCUCCACUAACCACUAACACCCUUAUCCCACCAAAUCCGACACACUACUCACAUCCAACUACCUUAGACUUCUAACUCCACCGAACCUUU
RNAcentral lists this long non-coding RNA (583 nucleotides) under Gossypium raimondii (Peruvian cotton). RNAcentral's name for it is "long non-coding RNA (GRAI_LNC003848)". Lineage: Eukaryota; Viridiplantae; Streptophyta; Magnoliopsida; Malvales; Malvaceae. The record is from RNAcentral.